RNAcentral lists this ribosomal RNA (484 nucleotides) under uncultured bacterium. RNAcentral describes it as "partial 16S ribosomal RNA". It matches the Rfam family "Bacterial small subunit ribosomal RNA", at positions 28 to 523 of the family's 1533-position model. The record is from RNAcentral.
GAUGAACGCUGGCGGCGUGCUUAACACAUGCAAGUCGAACGGUGAAGCAGGAGCUUGCUCUUGUGGAUCAGUGGCGAACGGGUGAGUAACACGUGAGCAACCUGCCCCUGACUCUGGGAUAAGCGCUGGAAACGGCGUCUAAUACUGGAUAUGUGAUGUGACCGCAUGGUCUGCAUCUGGAAAGAAUUUCGGUUGGGGAUGGGCUCGCGGCCUAUCAGCUUGUUGGUGAGGUAAUGGCUCACCAAGGCGUCGACGGGUAGCCGGCCUGAGGGGGCGACCGGCCACACUGGGACUGAGACACGGCCCAGACUCCUACGGGAGGCAGCAGUGGGGAAUAUUGCACGAUGGGCGGAAGCCUGAUGCAGCAACGCCGCGUGAGGGAUGACGGCCUUCGGGUUGUAAACCUCUUUUAGCAGGGAAGAAGCGAAAGUGACGGUACCUGCAGAAAAAGCACCGGCUAACUACGUGCCAGCCGCCGCAGUAA